Molecule: long non-coding RNA, 941 nt
Organism: Liolophura sinensis
Lineage: Eukaryota; Metazoa; Mollusca; Polyplacophora; Chitonida; Chitonidae
Exons: 2
Source: RefSeq, a predicted model, not a curated record
AGUUGCCUGGCCGAAGGUAUCCUACAUCGUCCGCCGCAGGGUUAAACCCGUCACCAAAAAGCCGCGAGUAGCCAGGGAAUAUUAUCGCCGGAAGAAAUUCGCCGCCGUCGAGCGUUAUCUGGAUUACAUGGAGACACAAACGCGGACGACUGUCAGACGUAGACGUAAAAAUAAGCGUUCGCCACGUCGAUGAACGCCAAGCAAGUCGACGCCACGCCGUUUGACGCCACGCCGUGCCACUCCGCGUAAGACGAUGCCACGUAAAACCACGUACCUUGUCCCACCAGUUUCCACGCCAGUCGAACGCACGGUAGCGCCAAGCAGUGCCCCACAGAAAACCUACACAACAACAAUCUACAUCCCGUCAAAAGGGACUUCAGCACCCCAAACUAAAGAAACUCCGGACAGAUCUUUUCAUAUGGGCUCUGGCAAAGACUCCGACGACCCGGAGAAUGAGUAUGACUAAAAUAUUCAAGAACUGGAACUGUGAAGAAUUUAUAAUAGUCUCAGCUGUGCAAAAACAACAAUCUUUUAACAACGCACCCACAAAUUGACGUUAAGUAUCAAUAACAUCUCUGUUGAUCUCCGCGAUGUCAUCACUGCGUGAUGUUGACAAACAGGCCCUCGUUAUGAAUGGAGGGGUCGCCGUGGUAAUUACAUGAAUGUAAUUAUAAGAGGGCUGCGUCAGUGGGGAAAAUCUGUGCUGCUGUGUGUUUUAGAUUGUAGUUUAGGUUGUGGUUUGUUUACUCUAUCACAUCUCGAGAUAGUUACAGGUUAACAUCUUUUGUACUAUCCAAACUUUCGUCUCGAGGUGAACGUCUCACCCAUCGUAACCUCCUUCCUCAUCAUGUGUCGUCGGAUGUCAGCAUUUCCACCUUAGCUGGCUUUCCCAGUAUCAUGAGGCAGGCAUGUUGUGAAUAAAUUAAAAACAAAGCAAAAAA